Molecule: long non-coding RNA, 140 nt
Organism: Etheostoma spectabile (orangethroat darter)
Lineage: Eukaryota; Metazoa; Chordata; Actinopteri; Perciformes; Percidae
Exons: 2
Source: RefSeq, a predicted model, not a curated record
ACUAAGAAAGCUCCAGGAUUUCCAUAUACACACUUAAAAAUGUCCGAUGACACGCAACAACAUACAUUGCUUUUGACAUAUUUUGAAUUGUCAUCUGUGUUUUCGUCAUCGCAUAGGCUAAAUACAAAGGUAUGUCCACC